GUUAAGUUGCAGGGUAUAGACCCGAAACCCGGUGAUCUAGCCAUGGGCAGGUUGAAGGUUGGGUAACACUAACUGGAGGACCGAACCGACUAAUGUUGAAAAAUUAGCGGAUGACUUGUGGCUGGGGGUGAAAGGCCAAUCAAACCGGGAGAUAGCUGGUUCUCCCCGAAAGCUAUUUAGGUAGCGCCUCGUGAAUUCAUCUCCGGGGGUAGAGCACUGUUUCGGCAAGGGGGUCAUCCCGACUUACCAACCCGAUGCAAACUGCGAAUACCGGAGAAUGUUAUCACGGGAGACACACGGCGGGUGCUAACGUCCGUCGUGAAGAGGGAAACAACCCAGACCGCCAGCUAAGGUCCCAAAGUCAUGGUUAAGUGGGAAACGAUGUGGGAAGGCCCAGACAGCCAGGAUGUUGGCUUAGAAGCAGCCAUCAUUUAAAGAAAGCGUAAUAGCUCACUGGUCGAGUCGGCCUGCGCGGAAGAUGUAACGGGGCUAAACCAUGCACCGAAGCUGCGGCAGCGACGCUUAUGCGUUGUUGGGUAGGGGAGCGUUCUGUAAGCCUGUGAAGGUGUGCUGUGAGGCAUGCUGGAGGUAUCAGAAGUGCGAAUGCUGACAUAAGUAACGAUAAAGCGGGUGAAAAGCCCGCUCGCCGGAAGACCAAGGGUUCCUGUCCAACGUUAAUCGGGGCAGGGUGAGUCGACCCCUAAGGCGAGGCCGAAAGGCGUAGUCGAUGGGAAACAGGUUAAUAUUCCUGUACUUGGUGUUACUGCGAAGGGGGGACGGAGAAGGCUAUGUUGGCCGGGCGACGGUUGUCCCGGUUUAAGCGUGUAGGCUGGUUUUCCAGGCAAAUCCGGAAAAUCAAGGCUGAGGCGUGAUGACGAGGCACUACGGUGCUGAAGCAACAAAUGCCCUGCUUCCAGGAAAAGCCUCUAAGCAUCAGGUAACAUCAAAUCGUACCCCAAACCGACACAGGUGGUCAGGUAGAGAAUACCAAGGCGCUUGAGAGAACUCGGGUGAAGGAACUAGGCAAAAUGGUGCCGUAACUUCGGGAGAAGGCACGCUGAUAUGUAGGUGAAGUCCCUUGCGGAUGGAGCUGAAAUCAGUCGAAGAUACCAGCUGGCUGCAACUGUUUAUUAAAAACACAGCACUGUGCAAACACGAAAGUGGACGUAUACGGUGUGACGCCUGCCCGGUGCCGGAAGGUUAAUUGAUGGGGUUAGCGGUAACGCGAAGCUCUUGAUCGAAGCCCCGGUAAACGGCGGCCGUAACUAUAACGGUCCUAAGGUAGCGAAAUUCCUUGUCGGGUAAGUUCCGACCUGCACGAAUGGCGUAAUGAUGGCCAGGCUGUCUCCACCCGAGACUCAGUGAAAUUGAACUCGCUGUGAAGAUGCAGUGUACCCGCGGCAAGACGGAAAGACCCCGUGAACCUUUACUAUAGCUUGACACUGAACAUUGAGCCUUGAUGUGUAGGAUAGGUGGGAGGCUUUGAAGUGUGGACGCCAGUCUGCAUGGAGCCGACCUUGAAAUACCACCCUUUAAUGUUUGAUGUUCUAACGUUGACCCGUAAUCCGGGUUGCGGACAGUGUCUGGUGGGUAGUUUGACUGGGGCGGUCUCCUCCUAAAGAGUAACGGAGGAGCACGAAGGUUGGCUAAUCCUGGUCGGACAUCAGGAGGUUAGUGCAAUGGCAUAAGCCAGCUUGACUGCGAGCGUGACGGCGCGAGCAGGUGCGAAAGCAGGUCAUAGUGAUCCGGUGGUUCUGAAUGGAAGGGCCAUCGCUCAACGGAUAAAAGGUACUCCGGGGAUAACAGGCUGAUACCGCCCAAGAGUUCAUAUCGACGGCGGUGUUUGGCACCUCGAUGUCGGCUCAUCACAUCCUGGGGCUGAAGUAGGUCCCAAGGGUAUGGCUGUUCGCCAUUUAAAGUGGUACGCGAGCUGGGUUUAGAACGUCGUGAGACAGUUCGGUCCCUA
This 1966-nucleotide ribosomal RNA is filed under the name Escherichia coli. Its description in RNAcentral is "partial 23S ribosomal RNA". It matches the Rfam family "Bacterial large subunit ribosomal RNA", at positions 694 to 2640 of the family's 2925-position model. Lineage: Bacteria; Pseudomonadati; Pseudomonadota; Gammaproteobacteria; Enterobacterales; Enterobacteriaceae. The record is from RNAcentral.